GAUGAAGAACGCAGCGAAAUGCGAUAAGUAAUGUGAAUUGCAGAUUUCAGUGAAUCAUCGAAUCUUUGAACGCACCUUGCGCCUUGUGGUAUUCCACAAGGCAUGCCCGUUUGAGUAUCAUUAAAUCAUCAACUCUAAAACCUUUGUGGUUUUUUUUAGAGCUUGGUCUUGAGGGUUUUGCAGGCUUUUUUUUUUUUCGAUUCUGCUCCCUUUAAAUGCAUUAGCGAGACUUCCCUAUGCUGAACCGUCUCUUUGACGUGAUAAUUAUCUGCGUCGAAUUUUGGUUCUCGUUGGGCUUGCUUCUAAUCGUCUGUUAAAGACAAAACGGAUUUGGGUGCAUAUAUGCGCCUUUUUCCAAUACCUUUUUUUGAUCUCAAAUCGGGUAGGACUACCCGCUGAACUUAAGCAUAUCAAUAAGCGGAGGA
Molecule: unclassified non-coding RNA, 425 nt
Filed under: soil metagenome
Description: partial contains 5.8S ribosomal RNA, internal transcribed spacer 2, and large subunit ribosomal RNA
Rfam family: 5.8S ribosomal RNA (bases 1-120)
Source: RNAcentral